CAGCUUAGAACCUGUCAAAUUUAUGCAUGGUUCCCUGAAAAAAGAACCAUAACCAUCACAGCUUAGAACCCGCAAAACAACAUCAUCACCGAUUCCGUUACUAGGCAAAACCAUGUUCAUUUCUUCAAACGUGAAAGCUGUAACAACAAGCAAAAAUUAAAACUAUCGUCACCCAGAUUUCUCAGCAGCAGAUACAGCAACGGCACGUUCAGGCACAACAGCAACAGUAUGCAAUGCUGCUCUAACAACCAGGAGCACCGUAAGCAGGAGGAACCGCUAUUCAGUCAGUGCAGCAGCUGCAGCAAGAUCGAAUUGGCCACAAAUCGUUCAACAGCAGUAAGAAGACAACCGGUUAACCACAAACACAACAGUAAGGUGCUCGGAAGGGAUUUUUUGUGCUUCAGUUAAAUCGUAGCCAGACACAAAAACGCAUCUUUGUCAAAUCACAAUUUUGUUUUCUACCAGUUCCUUAUACCAAAUACAAAUAUGUAUUUGCUUAUACUAAAAUAGCUGUAUUAGCACCGAUAAUUCAACCAUCCCAAGUGAUACAGCCACUAUGUCAGCGCCAAUCACCUAUAUUUCACAGCAGCAGCAAAUUGAAACUUCACCAUUCGACCGGUCGGUAGUAAUGCCGCAGCAAGCUGAUUUUUUUAUAUUUUGGAAAGGAUCAGUACAUUGUAUCGCAAUAAUCCCAAAUAUCGCGCUCAAAAAAUUACAUUUCUUCAUAUCGAAUUGGCUAGAAUCGCUCAACAACAGUAACAGAAAACAACCGGUCAACUGCACACAAUAGCAAGGUUUACAAAAAUCCCGGUUUAUCUUCAAUCAUAUUUUUAACUAAAAAAACAUUUAUUUGAAA
This is a long non-coding RNA of Topomyia yanbarensis, 856 nucleotides long. RefSeq lists it as uncharacterized. The record is from RefSeq and is a predicted model, not a curated record. Lineage: Eukaryota; Metazoa; Arthropoda; Insecta; Diptera; Culicidae. The transcript is spliced from 3 exons.